AACGAACGCUGGCGGCAGGCCUAACACAUGCAAGUCGAGCGCCCCUUCGGGGGAGCGGCGGACGGGUUAGUAACGCGUGGGAACAUACCCUUUUCUACGGAAUAGCCUCGGGAAACUGAGAGUAAUACCGUAUACGCCCUUCGGGGGAAAGAUUUAUCGGAGAAGGAUUGGCCCGCGUUAGAUUAGAUAGUUGGUGGGGUAACGGCCUACCAAGUCUACGAUCUAUAGCUGGUUUGAGAGGAUGAUCAGCAACACUGGGACUGAGACACGGCCCAGACUCCUACGGGAGGCAGCAGUGGGGAAUCUUGGACAAUGGGGGAAACCCUGAUCCAGCCAUGCCGCGUGAGUGAUGAAGGUCUUAGGAUCGUAAAGCUCUUUCGCCAGAGAUGAUAAUGACAGUAUCUGGUAAAGAAACCCCGGCUAACUCCG
RNAcentral lists this ribosomal RNA (429 nucleotides) under uncultured Paracoccaceae bacterium. RNAcentral describes it as "bacterial SSU rRNA". It matches the Rfam family "Bacterial small subunit ribosomal RNA", at positions 29 to 505 of the family's 1533-position model. The record is from RNAcentral. Lineage: Bacteria; Pseudomonadati; Pseudomonadota; Alphaproteobacteria; Rhodobacterales; Paracoccaceae.